GACGAACGCUGGCGGCGUGCUUAACACAUGCAAGUCGAACGGGUCUGCCCUGUUUUUUGCGGGGUGGGUCAGUGGCGAACGGGUGAGUAACACGUGAGUAACCUGCCCCUCACUUCUGGAUAACCGCUUGAAAGGGUGGCUAAUACGGGGUGUUCUGGCUGUGCCGCAUGGUGUGGCUGGGAAAGAUUCACUUUUGUGGUGUUUUGGUGGGGGAUGGGCUCGCGGCCUAUCAGCUUGUUGGUGGGGUGAUGGCCUGCCAAGGCUUUGACGGGUAGCCGGCCUGGGAGGGUGGGCGGUCACACUGGGACUGAGAUACGGCCCAGACUCCUGCGGGAGGCGGCAGUGGGGGGUAUUGCACAAUGGGCGGAAGCCUGAUGCAGCGACGUCGCGUGAGGGAUGGAGGCCUUCGGGUUGUGAACCUCUUUCGCCGGUGAAGAAGGUCCUGCUCUUUGUGGUGGGGUUGACGGUAGCCGGGUUAUGAAGCGCCGGCUAACUACGUG
This 500-nucleotide ribosomal RNA is filed under the name uncultured bacterium. RNAcentral's name for it is "partial 16S ribosomal RNA". It matches the Rfam family "Bacterial small subunit ribosomal RNA", at positions 28 to 507 of the family's 1533-position model. The record is from RNAcentral.